Molecule: transfer RNA, 87 nt
Filed under: bacterium
Lineage: Bacteria
Description: tRNA-Leu
Rfam family: tRNA
About the family: Transfer RNA (tRNA) molecules are approximately 80 nucleotides in length. Their secondary structure includes four short double-helical elements and three loops (D, anti-codon, and T loops).
Source: RNAcentral
GCGCGGGUGGCGAAACUGGCAGACGCACCACCUUGAGGUGGUGGCGCCCGUAAGGGCAUGCAGGUUCAAAUCCUGUCCCGCGCACCA